Molecule: ribosomal RNA, 450 nt
Filed under: uncultured bacterium
Lineage: Bacteria
Description: partial 16S ribosomal RNA
Rfam family: Bacterial small subunit ribosomal RNA
Source: RNAcentral
GUGGGGAAUUUUGGACAAUGGGCGCAAGCCUGAUCCAGCCAUUCCGCGUGCAGGAUGAAGGCCUUCGGGUUGUAAACUGCUUUUGUACGGAACGAAAAGGUUCUCUCUAAUACAGGGGGCUGAUGACGGUACCGUAAGAAUAAGCACCGGCUAACUACGUGCCAGCAGCCGCGGUAAUACGUAGGGUGCAAGCGUUAAUCGGAAUUACUGGGCGUAAAGCGUGCGCAGGCGGUGAUGUAAGACAGAUGUGAAAUCCCCGGGCUCAACCUGGGAACUGCAUUUGUGACUGCAUUGCUGGAGUGCGGCAGAGGGGGAUGGAAUUCCGCGUGUAGCAGUGAAAUGCGUAGAUAUGCGGAGGAACACCGAUGGCGAAGGCAAUCCCCUGGGCCUGCACUGACGCUCAUGCACGAAAGCGUGGGGAGCAAACAGGAUUAGAUACCCUGGUAGUCC